This 5896-nucleotide long non-coding RNA is filed under the name Salvia miltiorrhiza (redroot sage). RNAcentral describes it as "long non-coding RNA (SMIL_LNC007785)". The record is from RNAcentral. Lineage: Eukaryota; Viridiplantae; Streptophyta; Magnoliopsida; Lamiales; Lamiaceae.
AAAAUAUAUAUAAGUGAAAUAAAUUAAAGCAGCAAACUUCAAACAAACUUUACCUGACUUUCUGAACGAGAAUCAUCUUGAGCUUGCGGGCAAGAUCCUGCGCGCGAAGCCUGCGCUCCAAAUUCUUUUUGGCCAAAACGCGCUUCUCGGAAUUUUUGACGUGGGCAAGCUGUUCCUGCUUUAUCAUUCGCUCGAUGCCGUUGGACUGCAUCUUCCUCUGCAUUAAGGUCAAAGCCUGAUCUAAAUUGCUGUUGUAAACCUUGACUCGGAUGCCCCUGCACUGUUGCAGGUGAGAACUCAUGGAAAAGAAGGAGGUCCGCCGCAUCGCCGCCGCCUGAAUCAUUGUAUCGGUUGGAAUUUGGGAUUUGAUUUGAGGGUUGUUUGGGGAUGUGGGAUUGGGAUAAAAAAGAAACUGGGCCGCAGGGUUUGGGUGGGCCUCUUGUACAAAAAAUGAGUAAGAACAUUGUGGUCGAAUUUUUAGUUUACGUUAAACACCAAUAUUGUUUCUGGUAGUGUUUUAUUCAUAAUUCUUCUUUUCAUAUAAUAGUAUAUCAUAUACAAUAUUGCUAAAAAAUAAGAUUAAUUAUGCUGUAAUAAGAAAAACUAGAAAUUAAUUAAGGAUUCCAAUUUCGCACAUUUUACACAUAUUUGAUUGGGAGAAAGACAUAUGUAACCAAAAGCAUAUAGUUUAAGACUUAUAUAGCCACCACUUUUAAACCAUGACUUUGGGGGUCAAAAUGCUAGUAAAAGACUAUGCUACCCUUACUAAAUAGUGAAUAAAAAUAAAACAAAAUUGAAAUAGAAAAUUUGUUUGACUUUAAGAUUGAAAAUUAAAAAAAAAAAAAACAGAAAACCCAAAUUAAAUAAAGCAACUAACCUUUUUGAAUUCAGUCACUCUCUCUCUCUUCGAUCACGGUUUCGUCUUCUCCCAGAAAGCAAACGGCCAGAAAUCUCCAACUCUCGCCUGCGGCGCGACUUCACACCUCUCGCCUCUUCGUCCUCUCUGCGACCGACGAGCGCGUCGCGACCUUGACCAGCAGGCGAUCCUCCAGCUGCAGUCCUCCGGCGGCGCGACUUCAUCCAGCGCCACCUUCCUCCAGCGACAUCUGUUCCAUCGACGGCGAUGGCAGCUUCUUCUUCUUCUUCUUCACACCUUAAUUUCCCCCUUGGUCUUUCCAAUGCACUUUCCUCUCUCUCUUUCCCUCUCUCUGCUGCGAAUAACACCAUGGCUGAGCGAGAUAUUGCUCCUGCGCCAUCUACAGAAGCAGAGCACGCUGUCGCCGCAGCCGCCGAAAGACCAUCAACGGCUGUGGCAGACGAACAACAAAUUACAGCAGCAAACACAAGUAGAAUACAAUCGGUAAGUUUUGAACAAGAGGUUUAGGUAAUGACCAAAUGAAGAAAUAUUAAUGGUUCUCUCUACAAAUUUGUCAUUUUUGUGGAUAUAGGUUCGCAUUUGGAAUUGGAUGAUGUUUGUCUUUUGGGUGACUAAUGUUAAUGGUGAAAGCUUGAUUUUUUGGUUCAUUCUUGGUGAUUAUUGAAAAGCUUGACUAAUUUUGAUUAAUUUUGGUGAAAGCUUGACUAAUUUUGAUUCAGGAAUAUUCAAUUAAAAUUAAUUUUUUAUAAUAAUUGAAUUAGUAUUAAUUUUAUAUAAAUAUAAAAAUUAAAAAUAUUUUUCCGUGCAAUUCACGGGAUGCAAAUGCUAGUUAUAUGUAAAUUAAGUAAAAUUCAGUAACACGUUAGACAUUACUCACUCAAACGGGACAUCUUUUAGUAAUUGAUAUGCGUAUAAAUGAAAUUAAUUAUUCAAAAUAAAUGUUUAAACAUUAGAGUCGAUUUAAAUGAGUUAAUAGUGUUCAUAUCCAUUACUCACUCAAACAUACUGGGGAUAUAUUACAUGUAAGUUAAGUGUACUAAGAGUAUAUGUUAGUGUACAUGUUAGUGUACGCGUUUAUUUGUUUUCAUUUAUAUUUGGAAGGCCAAAUGCGUUUAUUCCCCACUAGGCCACUACUAGUUUAUCACAAUUCACGACUAGUUGGAAAUGAGAUUCAGUAUACCACAUUUUAUGUCUUACUUUGUGUCUUAUUUUCAAUUUUAUUUAUGAACUAGUUAAGUUUAAUUAUGAACUAGUAUGAUCAUUUAAAAUUUAUAAAAAAAAGGCGUAAUAAAUAAAUAAAUAAUUAUUUCCAUACAUAAACAUAUAUAAAAAAAUUUAAAAAGAGAGAAAAUAAAAUAUGUAACUUUUGAUAUUUUUUCAAAACUUAUUCAUUUUAAAUUAAUUUUUCGUGAUUUUUACACUAUAUUAAAUUUAAAAUGCAUAUUGCAUUUUUUUAAAUCAAAUCAUGUGAUAAUGUUUAUAAAAGAAUUAACAUAUAGAAAAAAUUAAAAAAUAAUGAAAAAAUUGGUGGAAGAAGAGAGAGAAAAAAGAGAGGAAAAUAACAAAUCUUUAUAUAUAUAAAAAGCAAAGUAAAUGUAAUUUAAUUCAAUUUGAAGGACAUAAUUGGAAUUGAGAAAAUAAUUAUAAUAACAAAAAUCUCCUACAAAACUGGCGUUAGUUAUAUACUCCUACAAAAAUGUCGAAAAUUGUUAACUGACAAAUGAGUAUUAGCAAAAAUAAUUUUAAAUGAUUUGUGCCGAAACAAAAAAUUAAAUGAUCGCCUAUUUCAAAAAAUUGUUAACCCUUGAAUUUAACAUAGGAGAUUAAAAAUCCAAAUUUCCGAUGCCCGAAGUCCUUCAAAUCGGGAAAAUAGUAAGAGUUCUACGGUGCACAAUGACAAUGCACAACUACGUACACAGUGAACCGGUGAAUACACAGUCAACCACAAACGGUGCAUGUUUUAGUAAUUCAUAUGCAAUUAAGUGAAAUUAAGUAUGCAAUUUCAAUUAAUAGACAUUAUAUUCAAUAAAAAUGAGUCAAUAGUGUUCAAUUUCAUUACCCCCUCAAACACAUUGGACAUAUAUCGCAUGAGAGUUAAGUACACUAAGAGUACGUGUUAAAGUGCAUAUAAUAUCAUCGUAGUAAUUGAGACGUGUUUGAUUAAAAACAAGUAUUCGAUUUGAUGUGUUAACCCUUUAAUUUAACAUAGGAGAUUAAAAAUCCAAAUUUUCGAUGCCCGAAGUCCUUCAAAUCGGGACAAUAGCAAGAGUUCUACGGUGCACGGUGACAGUGCACAACUACGUGCACAGUUUAACAACUACGUACACAGUUUGCCCCAAACGGGGCAUGUUUUAGUAAUUCCGAUGCAAUUAAGUGAAAUUAAGUAUGCAAUUUCAAUCAAUAGGCAUUAUAUUCAAUAAAAAUGAGUCAAUAGUGUUCAAUUCCAUUACCCCCUCAAACAUAUUGGGCAUAUAUCGCAUGAGAGUUAANUGUAUCGAAUUUUGGUCGUUUAUUCCCAUUUUCCCACCCAAUAUAUAUAUUUGUAUCGAAUUUUGGUCGUUUAUUCCCAUUUUCCCACCCAAUACGUUUACUUUUUGUCACUUUAUUUAUUUGGAAAAUUCUGUUUCACCAUUUAUAGAAUGUACAUUGAUUUGGUAUUCUUCUGUCGCCAUUUUGGAAGAGUAAGAUCUGAUUUCGCCAACUUCUUCUACCGUCAGAUAUUAUUAUUAUUAUUGCAACUUCCAUCUCGUUAAGUUUAUGUUAUUUCGGAUAUUAUUUCAACGAAACGGUUUGUCACAAAUCCUCUUAAAACUAAAACGGCGGUGAAUGUAAAAUCUCCCCCUUAAAAAUUUGAGUCAAACUAUGUUUAAACAUACAAAUUAAGUCCGAAUAAUUAUUUUGCAUACAUAAAAAUAUUUGGCAUCGAGAAGCUCAUUUGUAGGUCAUUCUAUCAAAUUUCAAACACAUACAGCCGUAUGCUAUUAUUGGGAGUUUUUCCAUUAAAAGUUGGAGCCCUGCCCUGCCCCCCUUGGCAAUGGAUGCAUGGAAAUUUCCUCAAGAAGCACUGAAAAUACAACCAACUAUAUUUGGAAAUGACGAUUAGAGUAAUUGGCAAGGACUAAAUGGUUUCUACUUAACUCCUUCAAGCUAUCUUAUAUACCCCUGCAAGCAGAAAAACGACAUGUCAGUUUAGGAACCAAAUUUUUCUAGGAUGAGAACACACUGAAUUUCAACAAGAUAGAAUAUGACGCUGAAGUAAAGAAACAGACGGAGCAAAGUUGAAAAUAUAAGCAUUACAGAAGUCGAUGAAGUAUUCUAAUGUUAACAACUACAAUUGACAAUACAAUAUGAACAGUUCAAUUUUGCACUCUUUGUCCAACUCCGUCUACUCUCUGGCUUUCAAACACGAAAAAGAGUAAAGAUCAGUGUUAUAUGAUUCCAAGUUUAGCAACAAGUUCCACUACAUCAUCAACAUGAGCCCCGACUCCAUUCAUCAGAAGUAACAUUUGAAUAAUCUUAGUCUUCGUACUCCCACCCUUUACAGUUUCAAUGACGGAAAGAACAUCUAUCAAAAUAAACUAAUCUUCCACAAAAAAAAGUAAUCAUUUGCUUCAAAAUGUUCUCAUUUUGCUGAUUUACAAGGGCAUAGCCUCCUUUAGUCCAGCCAAUUAGGAAGUUCAACAUUCAGCACAUUUGACAUGUAUGAUCAAACAUGUGAAAAAAAGAAAGGCUAACCAUACUCUCUCUGUAUCCGAGUGAAGAAAACGUUUUAGUUCAUACACAAGAUAUGAAAAAUAUCUGGAUGACUGUAGCCCCCUAAUUGCUUAACAGAGGAGAAUGUUCAUCAUCCAAUGGUUGUAGGACACUCAUCAUUCACAAAUAAUUUGCUCAGUAUUUGUGUUCAUCCAUAGUGUCCGGUGCCCCUUCUCUAUUACAUGAUCUAAAAGUAAGAUAUGCCCACUUCCUACUUUGAAGCAAAUUCCCUGAAGAUGGGACGGACUUCAAGCAACUCAACAAACUCGAGCCACAUGAUUCCAAUAACAAAUAACUUAAUACAGGGUGUUCUAUUCAAAACGAAGCAACAGAGCCAAACACAAUCAGACACAUGGAAUCCCUUUAAUACGUGAAACUUUCGUUUUUUAUCCACAGCAACAAAGAUAUCAAUUAACCAUUUCCUCAACAUAUCAUACGCUAACAUUUCAACUCUCAGUCAGUAUCAGUCUUAAAGACAGGUCAUUGUACUCAAACGCUAUAAUUUUCUCAUAUAAUUCAAGCUCAAUAAUUUGUAGCACAAAUCGCAAUUCAAUCAAUUUCCCUUCACCUUCAAAUCAAUGCAAAGAACCAAAACACUAACACAAACAUCACCGUACAUCCCAAACAAUCAACAAAAACAUCCAUUUCAUAUAGAUCACAAUUAGUAACCCGCUUGAUACGAGCAACUAUCAAAGAUAAUCAUAUACAUACACAAAAAUAUAUAUAAGUGAAAUAAAUUAAAGCAGCAAACUUCAAACAAACUUUACCUGACUUUCUGAACGAGAAUCAUCUUGAGCUUGCGGGCAAGAUCCUGCGCGCGAAGCCUGCGCUCCAAAUUCUUUUUGGCCAAAACGCGCUUCUCGGAAUUUUUGACGUGGGCAAGCUGUUCCUGCUUUAUCAUUCGCUCGAUGCCGCUGGACUGCAUCUUCCGCUGCAUUAAGGUCAAAGCCUGAUCUAAAUUGCUGUUGUAAACCUUGACUCGAAUGCCCCUGCACUGUUGCAGGUGAGAACUCAUGGAAAAGAAGGAGGUCCGCCGCAUCGCCGCCGCCUGAAUCAUUGUAUCGGUUGGAAUUUGGGAUUUGAUUUGAGGGUUGUUUGGGGAUGUGGGAUUGGGAUAAAUAUGAAACUGGGCCGCAGGGUUUGGGUGGGCCUCUUGUAUAGAAAAUGAGUAAGAACAUUGUGGUCGAAUUUUUAGUUUACGUUAAACACCAAUAUUGUUUCUGGUAGUGUUUUCUUCAUAAUUCUUCUUUUCAUAUAAUAGUACAA